This 99-nucleotide non-coding RNA is filed under the name Ruminiclostridium cellulolyticum. RNAcentral describes it as "Clostridium cellulolyticum TPP sequence". It matches the Rfam family "TPP riboswitch aptamer (THI element)". Rfam says of the family: Vitamin B(1) in its active form thiamin pyrophosphate (TPP) is an essential coenzyme that is synthesised by coupling of pyrimidine and thiazole moieties in bacteria. The previously detected thiamin-regulatory element, thi box was extended, resulting in a new, highly conserved RNA secondary structure, the THI element, which is widely distributed in eubacteria and also occurs in some archaea. Analysis of operon structures identified a large number of new candidate thiamin-regulated genes, mostly transporters, in various prokaryotic organisms. RNAcentral also lists the same sequence under 1 other name. The record is from RNAcentral. Lineage: Bacteria; Bacillati; Bacillota; Clostridia; Eubacteriales; Oscillospiraceae.
AAAAAUUUGUGGGGGGACCAAUUUUUGGUUGAGAAGGUAAAACCUGACCCUUGGAACCUGUCGGUUAAUACCGUUGUAGGGAAGCAAUGACAAUAACUU